GCCAGUGUUACUGUGGUGACCGCCAGAGCAGCCUUCGCGCUAUGGAGGAGCCCGGUGCUACCCCUCAGCCCUACCUGGGGCUGGUCCUGGAGGAGCUACGCAGAGUUGUGGCAGCACUACCUGAGAGUAUGACGGCAGAUUCGAAUCCUUAUGGUUUUCCAUGGGAACUGGUGGUAUGUGCAGCUGUUGUUGGAUUUUUUGUUGUUCUCCUUUUUUUGUGGAGAAGUUUUAGAUCGGUUAGGAGUCGGCUUUAUGUGGGAAGAGAGAAAAAACUUGGUGAAACGCUUUCUGGACUAAUUGAAGAAAAAUGUAAACUACUUGAAAAAUUUAGCCUUAUUCAAAAAGAGUAUGAAGGCUAUGAAGUAGAGUCAUCUUUAGAGGAUGCCAGCUUUGAGAAGGCGGUAGCAGAAGCACGAAGUUUGGAGGCAACCUGUGAAAAGCUGAACAGGUCCAAUUCUGAACUUGAGGAUGAAACCCUCUGUCUAGAAAAAGAGUUAAGGGAAAUCUAAACAUUCUCAACAAGAUGAAUUGAUGGCGGAUAUUUCUAAAAGGAUACAAUCUCUAGAAGAUGAGUCAAAAUCCCUCAAAUCACAAAUAGCUGAAGCCAAAAUCAUCUGCAAGAUUUUUCAAGCGACUGAAGAACGAUGGGCAAUAGCAAUAAAAGAUGCUUUGAAUAAAAAUUCUCAACUUCACGAAAGCCAGAAACAGCUUUUGCAAGAAGCUGAAGUAUGGAAAGAACAAGUGAGUGAACUUAAUAAACAGAAAAUAACAUUUGAAGACUCCAAAGUACAUGCAGAACAAGUUCUAAAUGAUAAAAUCACAUCAAGACCCUGACUGGACACUUGCCAAUGAUGAACGAUCAGGCUGCUGUGCUUGAAGAAGACACAACGGAUGAUGAUAACUUGGAAUUAGAAGUGAACAGUCAAUCGGAAAAUGGUGCUUAUUUAGAUGAUCCUCCAAAAGGAGCUUUGAAGAAACUGAUUCAUGCUGCUAAGUUAAAUGUUUCUUUAAAAACCUUAGAAGGAGAAAGAAACCACAUUAUUAUUCAGUUAUCUGAAGUGGACAAAACAAAGGAAGAGCUUACAGAGCAUAUUAAAAAUCUUCAGACUCAACAAGCAUCUUUGCAGUCAGAAAACAUAUAUUUUGAAAGUGAGAAUCAGAAGCUUCAACAGAAACUUAAAAUAAUGACUGAAUUAUAUCAAGAAAAUGAAAUGACACUCCACAGGAAAUUGACAAUAGAGGAAAAUUACUGGAUAGAGGAAGAAGAGAAGCUUUCUAAAGUGGAAGAAAAGAUCAGCCAUGCCACUGAAGAGCUGGAGACCUAUAGAAAGCUAGCCAAAGAUCUUGAAGAAGAAUUGGAGAGAACUGUUCAUUUUUAUCAAAAGCAGGUUAUUUCCUACGAGAAAAAAGGACAUGAUAAUUGGUUGGCAGCUCGGACUGCUGAAAGAAACCUCAAUGAUUUAAGGAAAGAAAAUGCUCACAACAAACAAAAAUUAACUGAAACAGAGUUUAAAUUUGAAGUUUUAGAAAAAGAUCCUAAUGCACUUGAUGUUUCAAAUACAGCAUCUGGCAGAGAGCAUUCCCCAUAUGGUCCCUCACCAUUGGGUCGGCCUUCAUCUGAAACGAGGACUUCUCUCUCCUCAAACUUUGUUGGAGGAUCCACUCAGACUCUCACCUGUGCUUCCAGCGGGAGGAGGAAGAAGCCCAAGCGGCCGAGAGAAUCCUCUGGACCAUCAGAUUACCAAUGAAAGAGGAGAACCAAGCUGUGAUAGGUUAACUGAUCCUCACAGAGCUCCUUCUGACACUGGGUCCCUGUCAUCUCCAUGGGAACAGGACCAUAGGAUGAUGUUUCCUCCACCAGGACAAUCAUAUCCUGAUUCAGCUCUUCCUCCACAAAGGGAAGACAGAUUUUAUUCUAAUUCUGAUAGACUGCCUGGACCAUCAGAACUCAGAAGUUUUAAUAUGCCUUCUUUGGAUAAAAUGGAUGGGUCAAUGCCUUCAGAAAUGGAAUCCACUAGACAUGAUGCCAAAGAUGAUCCUGGUAGUUUAAAUGUGCCUGAUUCAUCUCUCCCUGCUGAAAAUGAAGCAACUGGCCCCGGCUUUAUUCCUCCACCUCUUGCUCCAAUCAGUGGUCCAUUGUUUCCAGUGGACACAAGGUGCCCGUUCAUGAGAAGAGGACCUCUUUUCCCCCAACCUCCUCCAGGAACGAUGUUUGGAGCUUCACAAGGUUAUUUUCCACCAAGGGAUUUCCCAGGUCCACCACAUGUUCCAUUUGCAAUGAGAAACAUCUGUCCACUGAGGGGUUUACCUCCUUACUUUCAUCCAAGACCUGGAUUUUACCCCAACCCCACAUUCUGAAGGUAGAAGCGAGUUCCCUUCAUGGUUGAUUCUGCCUUUAAAGGAGCCUGCUACUGAACAUCCAGAACCACAGCAAGAAACCUGACAAUAUUUUUGCUUUCUUCAAAAGUAAUUUUGACUGAUCUCAUUUUCAGUUUAAGUAACUGCUGUUACUUAAGUGAUUACACUUUUCUCAAAUUGAAGUUUAAUGGAAUUGUAGUUCUCAGGAUAGUAUUUUGUAAAUAAAGAUGGUUUAAAUAUGAAUAAAAAAUAAAAAAUAUCUAUUCUACAA
This is an RNA transcript of Homo sapiens (human), 2629 nucleotides long. It is a transcript of the gene named CTAGE family member 11, pseudogene, with no coding region annotated. Lineage: Eukaryota; Metazoa; Chordata; Mammalia; Primates; Hominidae. The transcript has a single exon. The record is from RefSeq and is marked validated.